UAAUGCCGGAUGCUCCGACUCCUCGCAUGGGGUGUCGGGAAAGAUUUCAUCGGUAUGGGAUGGGGUCGCGUCCUAUCAGGUAGUCGGCGGGGUAACGGCCCACCGAGCCUACGACGGGUAGCCGGCCUGAGAGGGCGACCGGCCACAUUGGGACUGAGAUACGGCCCAGACUCCUACGGGAGGCAGCAGUGGGGAAUAUUGCACAAUGGGCGCAAGCCUGAUGCAGCGACGCCGCGUGCGGGAUGACGGCCUUCGGGUUGUAAACCGCUUUUGAUCGGGAGCAAGCCUUCGGGUGAGUGUACCUUUCGAAUAAGCACCGGCUAACUACGUGCCAGCAGCCGCGGUAAUACGUAGGGUGCAAGCGUUAUCCGGAAUUAUUGGGCGUAAAGGGCUCGUAGGCGGUUCGUCGCGUCCGGUGUGAAAGUCCAUCGCUUAACGGUGGAUCUGCGCCGGGUACGGGCGGGCUGGAGUGCGGUAGGGGAGACUGGAAUUCCCGGUGUAACGGUGGAAUGUGUAGAUAUCGGG
This 525-nucleotide ribosomal RNA is filed under the name Bifidobacterium pseudocatenulatum. Its description in RNAcentral is "bacterial SSU rRNA". It matches the Rfam family "Bacterial small subunit ribosomal RNA", at positions 164 to 701 of the family's 1533-position model. The record is from RNAcentral. Lineage: Bacteria; Bacillati; Actinomycetota; Actinomycetes; Bifidobacteriales; Bifidobacteriaceae.